UUCCCUUUUUGGCAUAGACUUGUAACGACAGGGGAUGACCCCUUCGGACAAUGAAAACAAACCCUAAUGUGGGCAAAGUUGAAAGUCCGAUUAUUUUUAGAUCGGAUGGAGGAGAGGCCACACAGCGCCCAUAUGCGCCCCCACAGCCAUGUUAGGGACGGGAGGAGAACCUCGUCCUAACAUGAGCAAGGUCGAAGGCCCAGUUAUUUUUAGACCGGAUGGGGGGAGAGGCCACACAGCGUCCAUAUGCACCCCCACAGCCAUGUUAGGGACAGGAGGAGAACCUCGCCCUAACAUGAGCAAGGUCGAAGGUCCGAUUAUUUUUAGACCGGAUGGGGGGAGAGGCCAUACAGUACCCAUAUGCACCUCCACAGCCAUGUUAGGGACAGGAGGAGAACCUCGCCCUAACAUGAGCAAGGUCGAAGGCCCGGUUACUUAUAGACCGGAUGGGGGGAGAGGCCAUACAGCAUCCAUAUGUGCCUCCACAGCCAUGUUAGGGACAGGAGGAGAACCUCGCCCUAACAUGAGCAAGGUCGAAGGCCUGGUUAUUUGUAGACCGGAUGGAGGGAGAGGCCACACAGCGCCCAUAUGUGCCCCCACAGCCCUGUUAGGAACAGAAGGAGAACCUCAUCCUAACCUGAGCUGAAACCGAUCACAUCAAAAAUAGGGGAAGAACCUCAUCCUAACCUGAGCUGAAAUCGAUCACAUCAGAAAUAGGAAAAGAACCUCAUCCUGACACCAAUUAAGGUCCGACCAUUCGAGACCCGACAAGAAAGAAGAAAACCUUCUCGGCGGCCCUUCUACGCUACCGCGACUCCGUAAAAAGCUAGGGAGAAUCCUUGCUUAAAAGAAGGAGGGAAAUGUGAAGGAACAGCAGCGGGCUACCCCAACGAAAAACGGAGGCCAAACUACACUAAAAGCACAAAGGACCUCAUCUCCAUGAAGGAGGAAGAGAAAGUAAGAUCUACGGUCACGAACAAAAAGGCAAAUCAACACGACGAUGGCUAGGAACCUCUAAGCAGUGUCGACGCCGAACCAAUCAAAAACACAAGAAACUCGGUAAUGACGACCUAAUACAAAGAUGAACAAGGAACCUUCGAACAACAUCGACAUUGUAUGGGACAAAAAUGAAAGAAGUCCGGCACACGAUAAUUCAACACGACGUACGGGUAAGGUAACAAAGAUCUUUUCAUUUCAUUAGCAAAGUAUGCAUUACAGAGCCUGGAAGGUCCAAAAAAAAACAACAACAACAACGACAACAAACAGACAAGC
RNAcentral lists this long non-coding RNA (1272 nucleotides) under Elaeis guineensis (African oil palm). RNAcentral describes it as "long non-coding RNA (EGUI_LNC078431)". Lineage: Eukaryota; Viridiplantae; Streptophyta; Magnoliopsida; Arecales; Arecaceae. The record is from RNAcentral.